AUAAAUUAGACACUUAAAGGAAGUAACUGCUGGGAUGGAGACAGACAUGGAACAGUGUGUUCUGGAAAGUUAAAAGCCUAGCCAGUGUACCAAGAUUGUCAGCUACAUCCGGUGUCUUUGGGAGCAAUUUUGGCAGCCAGUUUGCAUAGCCUGUCUCAGUUCCUGAAUUGCCAGCAGCUGUCCAGGUGCCUAGAGACCCAGGGAGAAGGGAUUCUACAGACAUCAGAGCAGACAUGCUGUCGUUUCUCCUGCCUCAUCACAGCUGUUUUGCUUGAUCACUCCCUCAGCCCCAGUGGGAUGAACAGUGUGAGGAUGUGGUGGUGACACAUGUGCUCCCGCAGCCAAAUCAAAGGCCCAGCCAAGCCUGUGCCUCAGCCAUGAGUCUGGAGGAAAUCAGAGACCUUCAUUAAAGUUUCAGAAAAACCUAACUGGUAUGAGGACAGCAUUCAAAAAUGUAUUUGGGGGAAAACAAAUAUUGUUUUAACUCUGUUAAUAAUUUAUGUGUUGCCAGCAGAGAUCCUCCUAGCAUUAAGGGAAUUGAAAAUUAAAGGCACAAAGACACUAUAAGAAAACAUGUUG
Molecule: non-coding RNA, 579 nt
Organism: Cyanistes caeruleus (blue tit)
Lineage: Eukaryota; Metazoa; Chordata; Aves; Passeriformes; Paridae
Source: RefSeq, a predicted model, not a curated record